ACUGCGAGUGAAGCGGGAAAAGCUCAAAUUUAAAAUCUGGCAGUCUUUGGCUGUCCGAGUUGUAAUCUAGAGAAGUAUUAUCCGCGCUGGACCGUGUACAAGUCUCCUGAAAUGGGGCAUCAUAGAGGGUGAGAAUCCCGUCUUUGACACGGACUGCCAGGGCUUUGUGAUGUGCUCUCAAAGAGUCGAGUUGUUUGGGAAUGCAGCUCAAAAUGGGUGGUAAAUUCCAUCUAAAGCUAAAUAUUGGCGAGAGACCGAUAGCGAACAAGUACCGUGAGGGAAAGAUGAAAAGAACUUUGGAAAGAGAGUUAAACAGUACGUGAAAUUGCUGAAAGGGAAACGCUUGAAGUCAGUCGCGUUGGCCAGGGAUCAACCUUGCUUUUUUUUUGCUUGGCUUACUUUCUGGUCGACGGGUCAGCAUCAAUUUUGACCGGUGGAAAAAGUUCAAGGGAAUGUGGCAUCUUCGGAUGUGUUAUAGCCUUUGUUCGCAUACAUCGGUUGGGAUUGAGGAACUCAGCACGCCGAAAGGCCGGGUUUUUAACCACGUACGUGCUUAGGAUGCUGGCAUAAUGGCUUUAAUCGACCCGUCUUGAAACACGGACCAAGGAGUCUAACAUGCCUGCGAGUGUUUGGGUGAAAAACCCGA
RNAcentral lists this ribosomal RNA (646 nucleotides) under Laccaria macrocystidiata. RNAcentral describes it as "partial large subunit ribosomal RNA". It matches the Rfam family "Eukaryotic large subunit ribosomal RNA", at positions 86 to 711 of the family's 3401-position model. The record is from RNAcentral. Lineage: Eukaryota; Fungi; Basidiomycota; Agaricomycetes; Agaricales; Hydnangiaceae.